This 626-nucleotide ribosomal RNA is filed under the name Calonarius ochraceopallescens. RNAcentral's name for it is "eukaryotic LSU rRNA". The stretch from base 251 to 404 matches the Rfam family "5.8S ribosomal RNA". Lineage: Eukaryota; Fungi; Basidiomycota; Agaricomycetes; Agaricales; Cortinariaceae. The record is from RNAcentral.
AGGAUCAUUAUUGAAAUAAACCUGAUAAGUUGUUGCUGGUUCUCUAGGGAGCAUGUGCACACUUGUCAUCUUUGUAUCUUCACCUGUGCACAUUUUGUAGACCUGAGUAUCUCUCUGAAUGCUUUAUGGCACUCAGGAUUGAGAGUUGACUUUUUGUCUCUUCUUAUAUUCUCAGGUCUAUGUUUUUCAUAUACCCCAAUGUAUGUUUAUAGAAUGUAAUUAAUAGGCCUUUGUGCCUAUAAACCUUUACAACUUUCAGCAACGGAUCUCUUGGCUCUCGCAUCGAUGAAGAACGCAGCGAAAUGCGAUAAGUAAUGUGAAUUGCAGAAUUCAGUGAAUCAUCGAAUCUUUGAACGCACCUUGCGCUCCUUGGUAUUCCGAGGAGCAUGCCUGUUUGAGUGUCAUUAAUAAUAUCAACCUCUUUGGUUGGAUGUGGGUUUGCUGGCCUUUUUGAGGUCAGCUCCCCUUAAAUGCAUUAGCGGACAACAUUUUGCCAACUGUUCUUUGGUGUGAUAAUUAUCUACGCCAUUGAUGUGAAGCAAAGGUUCGGCUUCUAACAGUCCAUUGACUUGGACAAACUCUUUUCUUAUUAAUGUGACCUCAAAUCAGGUAGGACUACCCGCUGA